This 512-nucleotide ribosomal RNA is filed under the name uncultured bacterium. RNAcentral describes it as "partial 16S ribosomal RNA". It matches the Rfam family "Bacterial small subunit ribosomal RNA", at positions 28 to 507 of the family's 1533-position model. The record is from RNAcentral.
GAUGAACGCUGGCGGCGUGCCUAAUACAUGCAAGUCGAACGAAACUUCUUUAUCACCGAGUGCUUGCACUCACCGAUAAAGAGUUGAGUGGCGAACGGGUGAGUAACACGUGGGCAACCUGCCCAAAAGAGGGGGAUAACACUUGGAAACAGGUGCUAAUACCGCAUAACCAUAGUUACCGCAUGGUAACUAUGUAAAAGGUGGCUAUACUACCGCUUUUGGAUGGGCCCGCGGCGCAUUAGCUAGUUUGUAGGGUAAAGGCUUACCAAGGCAAUGAUGCGUAGCCGAAUUGAGAGGUUGAUCGGCCACAUUGGGACUGAGACACGGCCCAAACUCCUACGGGAGGCAGCAGUAGGGAAUCUUCCACAAUGGGCGAAAGCCUGAUGGAGCAACGCCGCGUGGGUGAAGAAGGUCUUCGGAUCGUAAAACCCUGUUGUUAGAGAAGAAAGUGCGUGAGAGUAACUGUUCACGUUUCGACGGUAUCUAACCAGAAAGCCACGGCUAACUACGUG